Molecule: ribosomal RNA, 419 nt
Filed under: Vibrio parahaemolyticus
Lineage: Bacteria; Pseudomonadati; Pseudomonadota; Gammaproteobacteria; Vibrionales; Vibrionaceae
Description: partial 23S ribosomal RNA
Rfam family: Bacterial large subunit ribosomal RNA
Source: RNAcentral
GAAUGGGGAAACCCACGUGCAUAAGCACGUAUCCUUACCUGAAUACAUAGGGUAAGGAGGCGAACCGGGGGAACUGAAACAUCUAAGUACCCCGAGGAAAAGAAAUCAACCGAGAUUCCGAAAGUAGCGGCGAGCGAAAUUGGACUAGCCCUUAAGCUUUACACGCGUUAGACGAACGGUCUGGAAAGUCCGACGAUACAGGGUGAUAGUCCCGUAGUUGACGACGCGUGUUCAGUGAAAUCGAGUAGGGCGGGACACGUGAUAUCCUGUCUGAAUAUGGGGGGACCAUCCUCCAAGGCUAAAUACUACUGACUGACCGAUAGUGAACCAGUACCGUGAGGGAAAGGCGAAAAGAACCCCUGUGAGGGGAGUGAAAUAGAACCUGAAACCGUGUACGUACAAGCAGUAGGAGCAGGCUU